This 466-nucleotide ribosomal RNA is filed under the name uncultured bacterium. RNAcentral describes it as "partial 16S ribosomal RNA". It matches the Rfam family "Bacterial small subunit ribosomal RNA", at positions 29 to 506 of the family's 1533-position model. The record is from RNAcentral.
ACGAACGCUGGCGGCGUGCUUAACACAUGCAAGUCGAACGGAAAGGCCCUGCUUUUGUGGGGUGCUCGAGUGGCGAACGGGUGAGUAACACGUGAGUAACCUGCCCUUGACUUUGGGAUAACUUCAGGAAACUGGGGCUAAUACCGGAUAGGAGCUCCUGCUGCAUGGUGGGGGUUGGAAAGUUUCGGCGGUUGGGGAUGGACUCGCGGCUUAUCAGCUUGUUGGUGGGGUAGUGGCUUACCAAGGCUUUGGCGGGUAGCCGGCCUGAGAGGGUGACCGGCCACAUUGGGACUGAGAUACGGCCCAGACUCCUACGGGAGGCAGCAGUGGGGAAUAUUGCACAAUGGGCGGAAGCCUGAUGCAGCAACGCCGCGUGCGGGAUGACGGCCUUCGGGUUGUAAACCGCUUUCGCCUGUGACGAAGCGUGAGUGACGGUAAUGGGUAAAGAAGCACCGGCUAACUACGU